UGUGGAGCAGAGCUGGCACCACAUCAGCCACACCAUCAGGGACUCAUUCACCUGCACAUCUACUAAUGGGAUAUAAGCCAUCAUGUACUAGCAAUGCCCCUCUGCCAUGUACAUUGGCCAAACCGGACAGUCUUUAUGUAAAAGAAUAAAUGGACG
Chelonoidis abingdonii (Abingdon island giant tortoise) is the source of this 156-nucleotide non-coding RNA. The record is from RefSeq and is a predicted model, not a curated record. Lineage: Eukaryota; Metazoa; Chordata; Testudines; Testudinidae.